This 664-nucleotide ribosomal RNA is filed under the name Microbacterium sp. 353N. RNAcentral describes it as "bacterial SSU rRNA". It matches the Rfam family "Bacterial small subunit ribosomal RNA", at positions 820 to 1480 of the family's 1533-position model. Lineage: Bacteria; Bacillati; Actinomycetota; Actinomycetes; Micrococcales; Microbacteriaceae. The record is from RNAcentral.
UUGUGGGGUCCAUUCCACGGAUUCCGUGACGCAGCUAACGCAUUAAGUUCCCCGCCUGGGGAGUACGGCCGCAAGGCUAAAACUCAAAGGAAUUGACGGGGACCCGCACAAGCGGCGGAGCAUGCGGAUUAAUUCGAUGCAACGCGAAGAACCUUACCAAGGCUUGACAUAUACGAGAACGGGCCAGAAAUGGUCAACUCUUUGGACACUCGUAAACAGGUGGUGCAUGGUUGUCGUCAGCUCGUGUCGUGAGAUGUUGGGUUAAGUCCCGCAACGAGCGCAACCCUCGUUCUAUGUUGCCAGCACGUAAUGGUGGGAACUCAUGGGAUACUGCCGGGGUCAACUCGGAGGAAGGUGGGGAUGACGUCAAAUCAUCAUGCCCCUUAUGUCUUGGGCUUCACGCAUGCUACAAUGGCCGGUACAAAGGGCUGCAAUACCGCGAGGUGGAGCGAAUCCCAAAAAGCCGGUCCCAGUUCGGAUUGAGGUCUGCAACUCGACCUCAUGAAGUCGGAGUCGCUAGUAAUCGCAGAUCAGCAACGCUGCGGUGAAUACGUUCCCGGGUCUUGUACACACCGCCCGUCAAGUCAUGAAAGUCGGUAACACCUGAAGCCGGUGGCCUAACCCUUGUGGAGGGAGCCGUCGAAGGUGGGAUCGGUAAUUAGGA